Molecule: non-coding RNA, 328 nt
Organism: Xyrichtys novacula (pearly razorfish)
Lineage: Eukaryota; Metazoa; Chordata; Actinopteri; Labriformes; Labridae
Source: the annotation of a GenBank genome assembly
CUCGCUCGUAUCGUUUCAAUUAAAUUCAGAUAUAAUGCAGAUAAAUACUUCAGAUAAUUACAAAUGGGGCCCAGUCAAGGUGAGAGUCAAAAGCAUUGGUGCUACUGUAGAUGCCAACAGACUACCAGCAAACACAAUGUUUGCAGGACUUCUACAACUAGGAUAAAGUGACAUAGUCCAGGACCCGAGGUCAACAGUUUAGCGGCGCUACAACACGCUACAGCAGGUCCGUUUGACAAGAAACACUUCUGUUACAGACACUUGUCUUACUUUGUUAAAGCGGUUUACCUGUCCAGCAGAAAGGUUACAGGGUCCGAAAGAUCCCGAA